RNAcentral lists this long non-coding RNA (1352 nucleotides) under Solanum lycopersicum (tomato). Its description in RNAcentral is "partial TCONS_00141334". Lineage: Eukaryota; Viridiplantae; Streptophyta; Magnoliopsida; Solanales; Solanaceae. The record is from RNAcentral.
AUGCAUAUAUAUGUAUAUAUAUGCACAAAACACAGACAGAACUUGACAGCUUUUGCUAAAUAAUUACAUUACAUAUCAGAAAUUCAGAAUCAAAUUACAUGGAGCAUCAGAUGUUUUCAAUAUUUUAUUUUCCAGCCAUUGUCUGGAAAAUAUGGUGAGGAAAGAUAAAAGUAUCAAUUUCAGCCAAGAGAUCCAGGGACAAUAGUAUAGUCGAUCCACAAUAUAUCUAAAGAAGAGAUAGAAAAUUAUGAAAUGAAUAGUUUAGCAAAGUUGCUUACACUACAACAGAAAUAACUCUUAGCGUCAUUAAAUAUUGACACUAAUAAAGAGUGCUAAAGUCUUUACCGGUAUUAUUAAGUGCCAUUAGAACCAAUGACGCUAAAGGUGAGUGACAAUUGCCGCUUAGCAAUAGUGUUAAAGAGCAACUCAAAGAACAACUAUUGCUUGCUAUUUUGAGCCAACAAUAAUAUUUAUUUGUAUUCUUGAUUAUGUUCAUUUAUAGAUUAAAUAGAAAAAUCUUAAAAAAUAUAUCCUCCAACAUACAUUAUAUUUAGGGAAAUGUUGUAAAGGUAGUUGUUGAUGACAUAAACAAGGUGGAAAAAAGCUUGUGUAUGCAUGAUUUUAAUGCUUGUGCCAACUUUUAAUAUUGCUAUAUAUGUGUCCAAACUCCUAAUAGACUAUCUUUAUCAUAUAUAGGUGGAAACUCUUACACAACUUCAAGAGUAAGCAACUGAAUAAGGAGGAGACGGCCAAAUACAAAGCAGCAUAAGAAAUGAUCAAGUCAUCACUUAAUUCUAAGGUAAGUUAGAGUCAUUUUUAUGAGCUAUACAAUGUUCACAAAGCACUGUAAGUGUGGAUAUAUUGAGACAUGCAAAGUACCAUUUGUACAUGAGUUUGGUCCUAACUCAAGUUUAUGGCCCACAAUGAUUCACAUCAUAUAGGUUUAGUGUUUACAAAUUUAUAGGGAGGAAUAAAGGGUUGGCAAUAGUCUUGCUCUUUACAUAUAUACCUGGAUUUUGUUGGUGGCUGCACCCACACAUCACGCGCUACGCUCUUACCGUUGGACCAAAGCCUUGUGGGCUUUCUAUUAUAUAUAUAUUCCAAUGGCUUGACCACUCUAUUUGUUUUUCUCCUUCCUAAUUGCUAUGUAGGAGAAUGGAGAUGUAGUUUUAUAGGUUACUUGCCCUUCUUGGGAGAUACUUCCUUGUAAAUUUAUUCAAUUUAAUGCAUAUUUGAAUUUCAAAUCCAUACUAUGUUCCCGUUUAUCUUUCUAAUCAAUUUUCCCUUUUGUAUAUGAUUUAUCUAUGAUGUAAAUAAAGAAUAUAUUGAUUAAAAUGUCAGUUGAUUACAGG